This 545-nucleotide small RNA is filed under the name Fusarium oxysporum. Its description in RNAcentral is "eukaryotic LSU rRNA". The stretch from base 192 to 345 matches the Rfam family "5.8S ribosomal RNA". Lineage: Eukaryota; Fungi; Ascomycota; Sordariomycetes; Hypocreales; Nectriaceae. The record is from RNAcentral.
UCGUAACAAGGUCUCCGUUGGUGAACCAGCGGAGGGAUCAUUACCGAGUUUACAACUCCCAAACCCCUGUGAACAUACCACUUGUUGCCUCGGCGGAUCAGCCCGCUCCCGGUAAAACGGGACGGCCCGCCAGAGGACCCCUAAACUCUGUUUCUAUAUGUAACUUCUGAGUAAAACCAUAAAUAAAUCAAAACUUUCAACAACGGAUCUCUUGGUUCUGGCAUCGAUGAAGAACGCAGCAAAAUGCGAUAAGUAAUGUGAAUUGCAGAAUUCAGUGAAUCAUCGAAUCUUUGAACGCACAUUGCGCCCGCCAGUAUUCUGGCGGGCAUGCCUGUUCGAGCGUCAUUUCAACCCUCAAGCACAGCUUGGUGUUGGGACUCGCGUUAAUUCGCGUUCCUCAAAUUGAUUGGCGGUCACGUCGAGCUUCCAUAGCGUAGUAGUAAAACCCUCGUUACUGGUAAUCGUCGCGGCCACGCCGUUAAACCCCAACUUCUGAAUGUUGACCUCGGAUCAGGUAGGAAUACCCGCUGAACUUAAGCAUAUCA